This is an RNA transcript of Myotis lucifugus (little brown bat), 700 nucleotides long. RefSeq lists it as uncharacterized. The record is from RefSeq and is a predicted model, not a curated record. NCBI's taxonomy places the organism in Eukaryota, Metazoa, Chordata, Mammalia, Chiroptera, Vespertilionidae. The transcript has 4 exons.
CAGUCACCAGAACCUUGGAGGUCUCCUGCUAAAGAAGCAGGAACGUUGAGGGGCUUGAACUUUCCUGUCUUCAGAGAGACACGUGGCUUCCAUCCUUAAGAUCACCUAGCGAUCCAAGAAGGAUCCUGGAGACCCAGCCCAUCCAGCCAUGCUGCAAACCUGCAGAAGAGUUUCUACUAACCAAACCAGCUCCUCUGAAAGAAGGUGCUUCAUCAUCUGUCCUCAGGCAAAGGAGAAAACUGCAUGAGAAUCUGCUGCUUCAGCCUCUUGAUCAGAGAUGAAAACAAGCCAUCGGUACACGUACACGAUGCUAUCUGGCUUCCUCUGUGUGGAAGGUGCUGAUAGAAAUCAAGAGGGUCCUGUUUGCCAAGACCACAAGUUCCGGCUCUGGAGGCCAGGAAGCCUAAGAUGAAGAAGCUAGCAUGUUAGUGUGUGGGGAGAGCCAGCUGCCUGGCUUGUAGAAGGCUACCUCUUGCUGUGUCCUCUCCUGGUCUCUUCUCUGUGUAAGUGAACAUGGGAAGAGAGCGUGAGCUCUGGUUUCUCUUCCUCUUCCUAGAAGUGUGCUAAUCCCAUCAUGGGGGCCCCAGCCUCUUGACCUCAUCCAAACCUAACUACCUCCCAAAGGCCCCACCUCCUAAUACAGUCACAUUGGGGUUAGGACUUCAACAUCUGAAUUUGGUGAGGGAGGGAUAUGGGAUAU